Molecule: transfer RNA, 73 nt
Filed under: Trichobilharzia regenti
Lineage: Eukaryota; Metazoa; Platyhelminthes; Trematoda; Strigeidida; Schistosomatidae
Rfam family: tRNA
About the family: Transfer RNA (tRNA) molecules are approximately 80 nucleotides in length. Their secondary structure includes four short double-helical elements and three loops (D, anti-codon, and T loops).
Source: Rfam by way of RNAcentral
GUCCCAGUGGCUUAAUGGUUUACGAGUUCGCCUUGUAACCAGAAGGCCCUGGGUUCAAACCCCAGCAGGUACA